RNAcentral lists this ribosomal RNA (529 nucleotides) under uncultured bacterium. Its description in RNAcentral is "bacterial SSU rRNA". It matches the Rfam family "Bacterial small subunit ribosomal RNA", at positions 355 to 896 of the family's 1533-position model. The record is from RNAcentral.
UGGGGAAUCUUGCGCAAUGGGGGAAACCCUGACGCAGCGACGCCGCGUGCGGGAUGAAGGCCUUCGGGUUGUAAACCGCUUUCAGCAGGGACGAGGCCUUAUGGUGACGGUACCUGCAGAAGAAGCUCCGGCUAAAUACGUGCCAGCAGCCGCGGUAAUACGUAUGGAGCAAGCGUUAUCCGGAUUCAUUGGGCGUAAAGCGCUCGUAGGCGGUCUGUUAGGUCGGCAAGUUAAAUCCGGGGGCUCAACCCCCGUCCGCUUCCGAUACCGGCAGACUUGAGUUUGGUAGGGGAAGGUGGAAUUCCUAGUGUAGCGGUGGAAUGCGCAGAUAUUAGGAAGAACACCGGUGGCGAAGGCGGCCUUCUGGGCCAUAACUGACGCUGAGGAGCGAAAGCUAGGGGAGCGAACAGGAUUAGAUACCCUGGUAGUCCUAGCCGUAAACGAUGGACACUAGGUGUGGGGAAGUUUUUUCUCCGUGCCGCAGCUAACGCAUUAAGUGUCCCGCCUGGGGAGUACGACCGCAAGGUUA